Molecule: non-coding RNA, 48 nt
Organism: Schistosoma mansoni
Lineage: Eukaryota; Metazoa; Platyhelminthes; Trematoda; Strigeidida; Schistosomatidae
Source: Rfam
GCCCAGCUGACGACUCCGAAAUAGGACGAAACGCGUGUCAUGCUGGAU